Long non-coding RNA from Canis lupus familiaris (dog), 2616 nucleotides. RefSeq lists it as uncharacterized. Lineage: Eukaryota; Metazoa; Chordata; Mammalia; Carnivora; Canidae. The record is from RefSeq and is a predicted model, not a curated record. The transcript is spliced from 7 exons.
CAUACACGUUAAGGAAAGGCAAUGAAGAUACAGUGAGAAGGAGCUCAAGCCAGGAAGAGAAUCAUUACCAGGAACAGACCCUGCUGGAACUAGGUCUGGGACUUCUAGCCUCCAGAAUUCUGGAACAGCGAGAUGCAAAAAUCCUGAACCUUCAAAGCCAGCUCCUGCAGAAGAGAGAGGGCCUGGCAGCUGAGCUGGAUGCUUCAGGAGCAGAGGAUCUAUCAACUGCAGACCAAACAUAGGGAGACGCAGGCAGACCUGGAACAGAAACCCAGCCAGCUCCAGCCGCUCCGAAGAAUACGUGGUGGCCACAGUCGGCAGCAGGAAGCAUGAGGCAGGAAAUGACCCAAUCCUUGAGGGCUGGUAAAGAAAACAAAGACCCAGCUGGGAGAGACUAAAAUGCACCUACUUUCAAGCCCAAGCCUUCAGAGAGCUUUGGAGACUUCAGCACCCCAUCCUCUGCUGUCAGAGCCAUGUGCACUUAUUUCCUUUCCACUGUCAAAGUCUGUCAUCUGGAAGGGUAUGAAAUUCAUCCUGUCUGGAUUUUAAGACACUUUGGAUGAAUGGAAUGUCAUUUUCUGAGAUCUGGAAGCCCGAGAACUCUUUAACAUAAGAGAUCUGAGUGUGGAUAUCCACCAGGGCCUCGGAGAUGCAGAGAUCUGCAUCUGAUGGGAUUUGUCCCAUCUCUGCCAAACCCUCCAAGUCACUACUCUCACUUCCUCAGAACUCUGCUCCAUCUUCCAACUAGCAGUUAUCUAGUGAAGACACUCAUUCAUUUUUAGUUGAUUGGAACCAAGACAAAGCAAAGCAGUGAGAUUUCUUUUCUGGCUCUCUGGUUGUUGUCACUACAGCUCCCAACUUCAUACGCAGUCACCCUAGAGCAAUGGAAAAGGAAGAGACUCAGGCCCUCAGAGCACCUGAUGCUUUUAAAGUUCACCUGCUGACAUUAUUCCAUGGGACAUCAAGGAUGAUAGGCAGGGCUUAGCUGUGAUGGCUCCCGUCUAUCUUGAGCCAAGGAGGCUUGGAGAAGUUAGACUGGAAAUACAUCAUUGGACUUAAGUGUUAAGUUAAAAGUCUGAGAACAGUCUUCCUGGUUGUGCAAAUGUUCUCAGUGAAGUCACCACCAUGGCCAAAUGGUGGAUAUGAAUUCUGCACCUAGGAAUUGUACUUACCUUUCUUGCAGUUCAAAUACAUUAUUAUGCCAACAUUAGCUAGCAGGAAAGGUUUAUAAUCACUCCACACAAUGUCACCAAGGUCUGUGGAAGUCUGUUUCUUCUGUGCCUCCAGUGGUUCUAUUCUCAUUACCAAUUCAGUCGGGACAAGAUCAACAAAGCUGAGGUAACAAACUCUGAAAUCUAAUAGCUUAACACAACAAAAUCUUUCUUCAUAUUUAUGCAAAGUCUGAACGUUGGGGGUCCUCCAUGGAGUGCCUCAGGGACCUUGGGUCCCUCUCUUUGGGAACAUUGCUAUCUCAACAAGAAGCCCCUAGAGUGAUCAUGGCAGGGAACAAGAGAACACAGAGGUGGCAUAUCAAUUCUCAAAUACCCCAGCCUGGAAGUGACAUACAUUAUUUGCAUGCAUACUACAGUGGCUAGGACUAGUCACGUGGCCCUGCCUAACUGCAGGAGGCAGAGGAAUGUCAUCUUCCUCAUUAAGGAAGAAAAGGAGAGCUAGCUAUACAAGUACACUAGUAAUUUCUGUGAUGGUAUUUACAUAAGAAACCAUCAGAAACAAAAUCAGAGUUCUUCAAACUUGUGAUAAGAAUACUCUUUUUAUUAACUAUUUUUAUCUAUAAAAGUAAUACAUCAUCAUAGUAAAAAGAAUUCAAAAUGCACAGUAAGGUAUCAGGUGAAAAGUGGAAUUCUCCUCCUAUCUAAUUCUUACCCUCUCCCUCCAGGUCUUCCCCAGAAGUUUCCUGUAUAUUCUUCCUGCUAUUGUUUUUUAACUCAAUAAUGUCUUAGGUAGCUUUUCAUAUCAAACCACAUAGAGCUACCAUCUUAUUUUAAUCACCUAGUAUAAAUGCCCCAAUCAACCCCUUUAAUCAACAUUUAGGUUGCUUUCCAUUUCGAACUAUCAUAAACCAUGCUCUCUGCAUACAUAGUUCAGUAGAUGUAGUAUAUGCUAAGAUAAACUUCUACAUGAUGGAACACAAAGUCAAAAUGCCAUAUAGGCAUUUUAAAUCUUGAAAUCCACUGCCUAAUUGCUCUCUCAAAAGGGCAAUUUUAUUUACUCAAAAAAUGAUGGGCCUGCUAUUUAAAUAUUGAUGACAGUAAGGAAUUUUUGCGAAUUUUGCUAGGCGUGACAAUGAUACUUUUUUUAAAGUUCUUAUCUGUUAGGGAUAAUUACUGAAGUGUUUGUAAGAGAGAUAAUACAAUGACUUAGAUUUGCUUUUAAAUAAGUAACUCAAGCCAAAAAAAGAUGAUGUGGGAUGGAUAAAGCACAAAUGGUAAACUAUUGAUCAUUGUUGAAGUGGAUGAUUCAUUAUACUCUUCUCUCAACCCUUGUAUUUGAUAUUUUCCAUAAUAAAAAGUUAAUUCUUUAUGCUUAUUCUAAGAGGAGAUGUUUGAGAGGCUUAUUGCAGCACAUUGUCAACGUCCUGAUUAAAGUCAGAGGAGU